ACCAUGGCUCAACGUCACCGCAGUUUUAAACUUCGUUAUAUGUUGGAAUCUGUCACUACCACCAAACCUUGGCAUAACGAGCCUAUA
RNAcentral lists this transfer RNA (87 nucleotides) under Shewanella putrefaciens. RNAcentral's name for it is "tRNA-Leu". Lineage: Bacteria; Pseudomonadati; Pseudomonadota; Gammaproteobacteria; Alteromonadales; Shewanellaceae. The record is from RNAcentral.